CGUCCUACGGGGGGCAGCAGUGGGGAAUAUUGCACAAUGGGGGAAAACCUGAUGCAGCAACGCCGCGUGAGUGAAGAAGUAUUUCGGUAUGUAAAGCUCUAUCAGCAGGGAAGAAAAUGACAGUACCUGACUAAGAAGCCCCGGCUAACUACGUGCCAGCAGCCGCGGUAAUACGUAGGGGGCAAGCGUUAUCCGGAUUUACUGGGUGUAAAGGGAGCGUAGACGGCUGCGCAAGUCAGAAGUGAAAGCUCGGGGCUCACCCGCGGGACUGCUUUUGAAACUGUAUAGCUAGAGUGAAGGCGAGG
Molecule: ribosomal RNA, 305 nt
Filed under: uncultured bacterium
Lineage: Bacteria
Description: bacterial SSU rRNA
Rfam family: Bacterial small subunit ribosomal RNA
Source: RNAcentral